GCAGAGGUUGCAGUGAGCCGAGAUCACGCCAUUUCAGUCCAGCUGGGAGACAGAGCAAGACUCCGUCUUGAGAACAAACAAACAAACAGACAGACAGACAAAAAAACACGCAACACUCUAUUAACGCAUGAAUGUAUUCUCACCGAACAAGAUUCAAACAGUAUGAAUGAACAUAUUGCAAAUGUUUUUAAGUGUUUUUGAAAACUUUCAUUUUGAAACAAUUUCAAACUUAGUUGAAAAGUUGCAAGGAUGGCACAAAAACCUUCUAUUAAUACAUAGCUUUUAGCAGGAUUCCUCAGUUGUUAACAAUUUGCCACAUUUGCUUUAUAAUUUUUGCUCUGUCUCUACAUACUUUUAAGAUCUGAGCCAUUUGAAAUAUAAUGCCCCCUUAUAAUAGUUCCGUGGGUCUUUCCUAAAAACAAGUCAUUAUCUUCCAUAAUCCAGUACAGUUGUUCAAAUCAAGAAAAUUAACAUGGAUGCAAUAGUAUUAUCUCAUCUGCAGACCUUCUUCAAAUUUCACCAAUUGUCUCAAUAAUACCAUCCUUUUUAGCAUUUUUUUGGCUGAUUCCCACUACAAACUAUGAAAGCACAAAUGUCUCUCCUCUGCCUUGCCCAGAGGUUCCUCUUUCAAUCAUAGGGGAGGUGCCGAUAGGGUCUGUCUUUCAUUUUUCUCAAUGGAAGCACAUUCCCCACUUCUCAAUUUGCCUUGGGAGCUCUUAUUUCAAUCUCUUCUCAAUCCUUCGAAGCAGGACUCCUCCCUAGCCAUAUUCUACACAGAAGGAAACAGAAACUCAGCGUGAGGACGGCUCCUGCCCUGCGACCUCAGGUCCCCCAGCUGCCUUGCUAAGAGUUGAACCGUGCCCCCAGCCCCUACCCUGAUACAUUUCAGCAAAUUGAUAUGCAAGGCCCCUUUCCAGGCCCUGGGAACAUGAAGAGGAAGUUGCUGAUGGCUGUGCUCAAAGACUUCCCAGGCUAGUGCAAGGGACAGGAGAGGGCGGCCCUGCUGGAAGCUCAGUGAGGAGCCCUGCGGUGGGGAGUGGUUGAAGCCGUUAAGUCCUCUGGUGACCUAUGGGUGUGGAGGCUGGACCAGAGGGCCUUAAGGGGUAGCCCUGCAGGUCCCAACCCCAUUCUUGGUGGAAGUGUUGGCUGAGGUCUCUGGAGUUGAGUGGGGUGGCAGAACUGGGCACUCUCAUGACAGGAGAGGGGGGAUGGGCAGGAGAGGUGUUCAGAAAAGGAGUGCAGGGAGGGCGGAAGAGCCGCUGUGUGAGUUUCCCCCAGCCCCUUGAGCAGCUGUGGGCCUCCUGCCCAGUCCCCAUGCUGGGACCGAGAGGGCAAAGCGUGCAGAGAAGGCUGCACACCCUGCAGCCUCAGCCAGCGCGUGAUAGGGGAGCUCUGGGCAGGGACAAAGCUGCAGUCCCUGUCCCUGAAUGUCGGGGCGGGGGGGGGCGGGGAUAGAAAGGAGAAAAUGGGGCAGAGAGAAAAGAAAGCGGUGGCGUGCACAUGCCCAGGCCCUUUGCUCCACUUUCCAUGCUAUAUGAGACACUUCCCAAAAUUCACACUCCCUGGGACCCUGAGGAUGGGGGCUGUAUCAGAGGAAUUAAUUCAGUCACAGGAGGACAGGAGUCCAGCUCUGACUCAGUCCCAGUGGAGCAUCGUAGAAAACCGACAACCAGUGUCCAAGGAGCCCACUUUGGUGUCUGAUGGGUCACCAGGAAGAGUUUAUUAGAUUCCUGAAAAUCAUAAGUAAGCAUCCCUGCUUUGUGGAAUUUCAGUUGGUGAGUGACAAUGCCAAGUAUGCAAUUUGUCCUUCAACUUUUCAUUUAUGCCACACCGCGUGCUGGGCUCUCUGCAGGUGCUGGUGAAACAGACAUGAAAAGGCACAACCCCUGCCUCGGGAUCUGGUGGCAAGAUCAACAGGUAAACUGCAGGUCUGAUACGGAUUGACAGGUGCCACUCAGAGUGAGUACGGGUGGCAGAAACUCAGAGGGGUCC
This 1992-nucleotide long non-coding RNA is filed under the name Homo sapiens (human). Its description in RNAcentral is "non-protein coding lnc-CPEB4-5:2". The record is from RNAcentral. Lineage: Eukaryota; Metazoa; Chordata; Mammalia; Primates; Hominidae.